GACGAACGCUGGCGGCGUGCUUAACACAUGCAAGUCGAACGCUGAAGACCUGGCUUUUGUUGGGUUGGAUGAGUGGCGAACGGGUGAGUAACACGUGAGUAACCUGCCCUCUUCUUUGGGAUAACGCCCGGAAACGGGUGCUAAUACUGGAUAUUCACUGAUCUUCGCAUGGGGGUUGGUGGAAAGGUUUGUUCUGGUGGGGGAUGGGCUCGCGGCCUAUCAGCUUGUUGGUGGGGUGAUGGCCUACCAAGGCUUUGACGGGUAGCCGGCCUGAGAGGGUGACCGGUCACAUUGGGACUGAGCUACGGCCCAGACUCCUGCGGGAGGCAGCAGUGGGGAAUAUUGCACAAUGGGCGAACGCCUGAUGCAGCGACGCCGCGUGAGGGAUGGAGGCCUUCGGGUUGUAAACCUCUUUCGCUCAUGGUCAAGCCGCAACUGUGGGUUGUGGUGAGGGUAGUGGGUAAAGAAGCGCCGGCUAACUACGUG
RNAcentral lists this ribosomal RNA (486 nucleotides) under uncultured bacterium. RNAcentral describes it as "partial 16S ribosomal RNA". It matches the Rfam family "Bacterial small subunit ribosomal RNA", at positions 28 to 507 of the family's 1533-position model. The record is from RNAcentral.